GACGAACGCUGGCGGCGUGCCUAACACAUGCAAGUCGAACGGAGUAUCCAGCAAUGGAUGCUUAGUGGCGAACGGGUGAGUAACGCGUAGACAACCUGCCUCUAAAUUGGGGACAACACCGCGAAAGUGGUGCUAAUACCGAAUGUGGUACCUUGAUCGCAUGAUCGAGAUAAGAAAGGUGGCCUCUACUUAUAAGCUACCGAAUAGAGAUGGGUUGGCGUCUGAUUAGCUAGUUGGUGAGGUAAUGGCUCACCAAGGCGACGAUCAGUAGCCGGUCUGAGAGGAUGAACGGCCACACUGGGACUGAGACACGGCCCAGACUCCUACGGGAGGCAGCAGUGGGGAAUCUUCCGCAAUGGACGAAAGUCUGACGGAGCAACGCCGCGUGAGUGAAGAAGGUCUUCGGAUUGUAAAGCUCUGUCGUUUGGGACGAACGUGCUUAUUGUGAAUAAUGAUAAGUAAUGACGGUACCAAAGGAGGAAGCCACGGCUAACUACGUGCCAGCAGCCGCCGUAA
RNAcentral lists this ribosomal RNA (516 nucleotides) under uncultured bacterium. Its description in RNAcentral is "partial 16S ribosomal RNA". It matches the Rfam family "Bacterial small subunit ribosomal RNA", at positions 28 to 523 of the family's 1533-position model. The record is from RNAcentral.